GAUGAACGCUGGCGGCGUGCCUAAUACAUGCAAGUCGAGCGAACAGACGAGGAGCUUGCUCCUCUGACGUUAGCGGCGGACGGGUGAGUAACACGUGGAUAACCUACCUAUAAGACUGGGAUAACUUCGGGAAACCGGAGCUAAUACCGGAUAAUAUAUUGAACCGCAUGGUUCAAUAGUGAAAGACGGCUUUGCUGUCACUUAUAGAUGGAUCCGCGCCGCAUUAGCUAGUUGGUAAGGUAACGGCUUACAAAGGCAACUAUGCGUAGCCGACCUGAGAGGGUGAUCGGCCACACUGGAACUGAGACACGGUCCAGACUCCUACGGGAGGCAGCAGUAGGGAAUCUUCCGCAAUGGGCGAAAGCCUUACGGAGCAACGCCGCGUGAGUGAUGAAGGUCUUCGGAUCGUAAAACUCUGUUAUUAGGGAAGAACAAAUGUGUAAGUAACUAUGCACGUCUUGACGGUACCUAAUCAGAAAGCCACGGCUAACUACGUG
Molecule: ribosomal RNA, 497 nt
Filed under: uncultured bacterium
Lineage: Bacteria
Description: partial 16S ribosomal RNA
Rfam family: Bacterial small subunit ribosomal RNA
Source: RNAcentral